This 404-nucleotide ribosomal RNA is filed under the name Clostridioides difficile. RNAcentral describes it as "bacterial LSU rRNA". It matches the Rfam family "Bacterial large subunit ribosomal RNA", at positions 534 to 938 of the family's 2925-position model. The record is from RNAcentral. Lineage: Bacteria; Bacillati; Bacillota; Clostridia; Peptostreptococcales; Peptostreptococcaceae.
GGGAGUGAAAUAGAACCUGAAACCCUGCACUUACAAGCUGUGGAAGCACAUUUCUUGUGUGACCGCGUACUUUUUGUAGAACGGGCCAACGAGUUACGUUAAGUAGCAAGGUUAAGCACUUAAGGUGCGGAGCCGUAGCGAAAGCGAGUUUUAACUGGGCGUUCAGUUACUUGACGUAGACCCGAAACCGGGCGACCUACCCAUGGGCAGGAUGAAGCGAAAGUAAAAUUUCGUGGAGGUCCGAACCCACGAGCGUUGAAAAGCUCGGGGAUGACUUGUGGGUAGCGGUGAAAUUCCAAUCGAGCCCGGAGAUAGCUGGUUCUCCCCGAAAUAGCUUUAGGGCUAGCCUCAAGGUGAGAGAUACGGAGGUAGAGCACUGAAUGUCCUAGGGGGUAUUGCACCUA